AGCUUUGUGCAGUGGCAGUAUCGUAGCCAAUGAGGUUUAUCCAAGGCGCGAUUAUUGCUAAUAGAAAUUAAGGAAGAGAAAAUACAUUUAUAGUACUGUACUGCAAAAAGCCUGCAUGUAGCUUAACUGACUGGGUGGUUCAGUCAGUUAAGCCUCUGACUCUUGAUUUUGGCUCAGGGCA
Small nuclear RNA from Vulpes vulpes (red fox), 181 nucleotides. Its record names the gene U4. It matches the Rfam family "U4 spliceosomal RNA". Rfam says of the family: U4 small nuclear RNA (U4 snRNA) is a component of the major U2-dependent spliceosome. The structure of U4 snRNA from yeast and human has been reported. The record is from Ensembl. NCBI's taxonomy places the organism in Eukaryota, Metazoa, Chordata, Mammalia, Carnivora, Canidae.